Molecule: ribosomal RNA, 279 nt
Filed under: uncultured bacterium
Lineage: Bacteria
Description: partial 16S ribosomal RNA
Rfam family: Bacterial small subunit ribosomal RNA
Source: RNAcentral
UGCCAGCAGCCGCGGUAAUACGGAGGGUGCAAGCGUUAAUCGGAAUUACUGGGCGUAAAGCGCGCGUAGGCGGUUAAAUAAGUCAGAUGUGAAAUCCCUGGGCUCAACCUAGGAACUGCAUUUGAAACUAUUUGGCUAGAGUAUGGUAGAGGUGAGUGGAAUUUCAGGUGUAGCGGUGAAAUGCGUAGAGAUCUGAAGGAACAUCAGUGGCGAAGGCGACUCACUGGGCCAUUACUGACGCUGAGGUGCGAAAGCGUGGGUAGCAAACAGGAUUAGAUA